CCUACGGGUGGCAGCAGUGGGGAAUAUUGGACAAUGGGGGCAACCCUGAUCCAGCCAUGCCGCGUGUGUGAAGAAGGCCCUCGGGUUGUAAAGCACUUUCAGUGAGGAAGAACGCCUGGUGGUUAAUACCCAUCAGGAAAGACAUCACUCACAGAAGAAGCACCGGCUAACUCCGUGCCAGCAGCCGCGGUAAUACGGAGGGUGCGAGCGUUAAUCGGAAUUACUGGGCGUAAAGCGCGUGUAGGUGGCUUGAUAAGCCGGUUGUGAAAGCCCCGGGCUCAACCUGGGAACGGCAUCCGGAACUGUCAAGCUAGAGUGCAGGAGAGGAAGGUAGAAUUCCCGGUGUAGCGGUGAAAUGCGUAGAGAUCGGGAGGAAUACCAGUGGCGAAGGCGGCCUUCUGGACUGACACUGACACUGAGGUGCGAAAGCGUGGGUAGCAAACAGGAUUAGAUACCCUAGUAGUC
RNAcentral lists this ribosomal RNA (465 nucleotides) under Vreelandella stevensii. RNAcentral's name for it is "partial 16S ribosomal RNA". It matches the Rfam family "Bacterial small subunit ribosomal RNA", at positions 338 to 795 of the family's 1533-position model. The record is from RNAcentral. Lineage: Bacteria; Pseudomonadati; Pseudomonadota; Gammaproteobacteria; Oceanospirillales; Halomonadaceae.